Molecule: ribosomal RNA, 463 nt
Filed under: uncultured bacterium
Lineage: Bacteria
Description: bacterial SSU rRNA
Rfam family: Bacterial small subunit ribosomal RNA
Source: RNAcentral
ACGAACGCUGGCGGCGUGCUUAACACAUGCAAGUCGAGCGGAAAGGCUCCUUCGGGGGUACUCGAGCGGCGAACGGGUGAGUAACACGUGAGUAAUCUGCCCCCUACUUUGGGAUAACCCCCGGAAACGGGUGCUAAUACCGGAUAUGACCACAGUGCGCAUGUUCUUGUGGUGGAAAGUUUUUUCGGUGGGGGAUGUGCUCGCGGCCUAUCAGCUUGUUGGUGGGGUAAUGGCCUACCGAGGCUUUGACGGGUAGCCGGCCUGAGAGGGUGACCGGCCACACUGGGACUGAGACACAGCCCAGACUCCUACGGGAGGCAGCAGUGGGGAAUAUUGGACAAUGGGCGGAAGCCUGAUCCAGCAACGCCGCGUGAGGGAUGACGGCCUUCGGGUUGUAAACCUCUUUCAGCACCGACGAAGCGCAAGUGACGGUAGGUGCAGAAGAAGGACCGGCCAACUACGU